RNAcentral lists this ribosomal RNA (252 nucleotides) under uncultured prokaryote. RNAcentral describes it as "partial 16S rRNA". It matches the Rfam family "Archaeal small subunit ribosomal RNA", at positions 475 to 726 of the family's 1478-position model. The record is from RNAcentral.
ACCGGCAGCUCAAGUGGUGGCCAUUUUUAUUGGGCCUAAAGCGUUCGUAGCCGGUUUGAUAAGUCUCUGGUGAAAUCCCGCAGCUUAACUGUGGGACUUGCUGGAGAUACUAUUAGACUAGAGGUCGGGACAGGUUAGUGGUACUCCCAGGGUAGGGGUGAAAUGCUAUAAUCCUGGGAGGACCACCUGUGGCGAAGGCGGCUUACUGGAACGGAACUGACGGUGAGUAACGUAUGCGAGGGGGGCAAACCG